AAAACAAAAACCAAAAAAAAA
Molecule: small RNA, 21 nt
Filed under: Arabidopsis thaliana (thale cress)
Lineage: Eukaryota; Viridiplantae; Streptophyta; Magnoliopsida; Brassicales; Brassicaceae
Description: ATSL166980
Source: RNAcentral